Molecule: ribosomal RNA, 396 nt
Filed under: Salmonella enterica subsp. enterica serovar Rubislaw str. A4-653
Lineage: Bacteria; Pseudomonadati; Pseudomonadota; Gammaproteobacteria; Enterobacterales; Enterobacteriaceae
Description: partial large subunit ribosomal RNA
Source: RNAcentral
CGAAACGCACCUCAUCAUGUAAUUAAAAUUUAAUUUAUAUUGUUAUCAAUAGGUUAAUGCAUAAUUAAAUUAAAAAUGGAAAUUGUUUUUGAUUUUGAAAUUUAAUUGAGUAGUCUUAGUUGUGUUGAACGAAAAGUGCACAGUGAUCCUUCGUUCGCAUUGGGGACGUAUCUGGAUCAACAACGAGGAGCUGCAUGAUGAAUCCACAGGCAACCACAACUGAUGAAUUAACCUUUACCAGGCCGCAAGGCGAGCUGGAAAAGCAAGUCCUGACCGCUGAGGCAGUCGAGUUUUUGACGGAGUUAGUUACCCGUUUUACGCCAAAACGCAAUAAACUCCUGGCUGCACGUAUCCAGCAACAGCAGGAUAUUGAUAACGGUAAGUUGCCUGAUUUUA